This 263-nucleotide unclassified non-coding RNA is filed under the name plant metagenome. RNAcentral's name for it is "partial contains small subunit ribosomal RNA, internal transcribed spacer 1, and 5.8S ribosomal RNA". The record is from RNAcentral.
UUUCCGUAGGUGAACCCGCGGAAGGAUCAUUAUUGUAUAACCGAGGUGCGAGGGCUGUCGCUGACCCGAAAGGUCGUGCACGCCCGAGUGCCCUCACACACAUCCAUCUCACCCCUAUGUGCACCACCGCGUGGGUCCCCCUUUGGCUUGUUCGGAGGGGGGCUUACGCUUUCACACAAACUUUGUAUGCAGUGUAGAAUGUAUUUUUUGUUUUUGCGAUCACGCAAUCAAUACAACUUUCAACAACGGAUCUCUUGGCUCUC